This 249-nucleotide ribosomal RNA is filed under the name uncultured bacterium. Its description in RNAcentral is "partial 16S ribosomal RNA". It matches the Rfam family "Bacterial small subunit ribosomal RNA", at positions 524 to 773 of the family's 1533-position model. The record is from RNAcentral.
UACAGAGACUGCAAGCGUUAUUCGGAUUCACUGGGCGUAAAGGGUGCGCAGGCGGCCGAGUGUGUGAGGCGUGAAAGCCCGGGGCUUAACCCCGGAUUGCACCUCAAACUACACGGCUAGAGCAUUGGAGAGGGUAGCAGAAUUCAUGGUGUAGCAGUGAAAUGCGUAGAUAUCAUGAGGAAUACCAGAGGCGAAGGCGGCUACCUGGACAAUUGCUGACGCUCAGGCACGAAAGCGUGGGGAGCAAAA